Pelobates cultripes (western spadefoot toad) is the source of this 357-nucleotide non-coding RNA. NCBI's taxonomy places the organism in Eukaryota, Metazoa, Chordata, Amphibia, Anura, Pelobatidae. The record is from the annotation of a GenBank genome assembly.
CAACAAUACCCUCAUGUGUACCUUUUUCAGGAAUAUGUGGCUGUUGAAGGGGCACAUUGGAGACUAAGCCAUAUCAGUUUUUACCAAACUUUGAAUUUUGACGCUGCGCCCACGUGCAAGUUUCGAGCAUCUUAGCAGGUUUUAAGUUCAAACUACCCCACAAAGGCCUACCAUUUCUUAAAGCAGACACACCAGGGUAUUUCAAAAGGAAUAUUUUAAACCUUAGCGUAGGAUCAUAGUCUUAAAGUAGAGGGGCAAAGGUUUAAAAAUAAUAUCAGGAAGUAUUACUUUACGGAGAGGGUAGAGUAUGCAUGGAAUAGCCUUCCAACUAAAGUGGUAGAGGUUAACACAGUAAAG